CCGCCGCUUCGCUCAACUCCUGCUCUCUCCCACAAUGAACCCUAGCCGCCAUCCGCCGCUGUGGCCCGAUUCUCCCUUGCCGAUGAAGUUCGGCGCACCGAGGCUAGCCGCGCUCCGCUGACCGACGAAGACCAGCGUCCCCAGCCAUGGCCUGGACCAGUGACGACCAGUCAAACCCCAUCCAAGAUGCGCACCGCCAUGCCCCAUGCGUCACGCCGCCAACCCAAACCCUCUGCGUCGCUCCACUGCUCGUGACGCGUCCAUCCGUCGGUGUUGCUCCUCCUUCUUAGUCUCUGCCCAUCUUAGUCGUGGUCCUUCCAUCAACUCUGGCGGUGCUCAAGGUGUGUUUUCUUUCCCCUUUUUCCUUGAUAUCUCCCUCUGUUGAUCUCAGAUGUGAAUGGUUUUGGUUUGUAAGUUGCUACUUGCUAGAUACUGGAUAUACAUGUGAGAUCAGAAUGAUUGUAUUUGUCAGAUGUGCAUGACAGAUUGUAAUGAUUUUAUUUUAGGUGGAUGAAUCUUUGACUAUGCAGUGACAAAUCAUAGCCACUCGAACGUGAAAAAAUAUUUUGAAUGUGAUAUUGAAUUUUUAUUGGCCGCAUAUCAUAGGAGUCGUAGUCACUGUCCCCUUCCGGUGCUCCACCUCGAAGCUGAAGGUGAGCAAGCUACUUCAUCUCUCUAUGUACAUAUAUUCAUUUAUGUGCAUCAAUUAUAUUGUUCAUGUUUUGUGAUGUCUAGAUUUUCUGAUGUUCAAACUCAUGUAGAUGUAGUGGCUUGCUUGUAGGUGCUGCUAUUGGAACAAUCAUAGUUUUUUGUUGGUUUUUAUCUCCAUGGCAGAGUGUACCAUGCUAUUUUCAAUAUAUUAACUUGGAAUGGUUGCUGUGUAGAGAGGGUACAGACACACCAAUGUCAUUUCUUAGCUCUCAAUAAGAAGAUUUUCUAAAAUGUUUGCCAGAUUUGGAGCACUUGAUUAUAUGCACUUUAUGUUGUGAUUUGCUCAUGUCAAUGUUGCUUACAUGUGCUGUUGUUGAAAUAAUCAAUUUAUUUUUGUUGGUUUGUAUGUUCGUAUGUACUAUUGUUAGAUGGAAUCUUAUAAUAACGAGUAACUUCCUAUUUUUUUGUAGAUGUUUCCUACACCGGAAUCUGAUCAUGAUGAGGAGUUGAAUGAGAAAGAUGAUGCAUUUAUAAUUCUAGAGGCAGAGCUUGCCUAUUCCAUGGGCUGAUGUAGCUUGUUAUCUUCUUACUCUGUGUCAAAGAUAAAUGUUGUUGCUUGUAUCUUCUUACUUUGUGUCAAAUAUAAAUGUUGUUGUUUCACUUGCUCAUUAUCUUCUUACUUUCUGUAUAAUAUAAAUGAUUAUGUAUGCAUGAAUCUUGUUGUUGGACCAUGAAUCAUGAAUCUUCUUACUUCAUGCCAUAUGAAUCUUGUUACCUUCUG
This 1432-nucleotide long non-coding RNA is filed under the name Triticum aestivum (bread wheat). RNAcentral's name for it is "long non-coding RNA (TAES_LNC028637)". Lineage: Eukaryota; Viridiplantae; Streptophyta; Magnoliopsida; Poales; Poaceae. The record is from RNAcentral.